This 791-nucleotide ribosomal RNA is filed under the name uncultured bacterium. RNAcentral describes it as "bacterial SSU rRNA". It matches the Rfam family "Bacterial small subunit ribosomal RNA", at positions 8 to 794 of the family's 1533-position model. The record is from RNAcentral.
AGAGUUUGAUCCUGGCUCAGAUUGAACGCUGGCGGCAGGCCUAACACAUGCAAGUCGAGCGGUAGAGAGAAGCUUGCUUCUCUUGAGAGCGGCGGACGGGUGAGUAAUGCCUAGGAAUCUGCCUGGUAGUGGGGGAUAACGUCCGGAAACGGACGCUAAUACCGCAUACGUCCUACGGGAGAAAGCAGGGGACCUUCGGGCCUUGCGCUAUCAGAUGAGCCUAGGUCGGAUUAGCUAGUUGGUGGGGUAAUGGCUCACCAAGGCGACGAUCCGUAACUGGUCUGAGAGGAUGAUCAGUCACACUGGAACUGAGACACGGUCCAGACUCCUACGGGAGGCAGCAGUGGGGAAUAUUGGACAAUGGGCGAAAGCCUGAUCCAGCCAUGCCGCGUGUGUGAAGAAGGUCUUCGGAUUGUAAAGCACUUUAAGUUGGGAGGAAGGGCAGUAAAUUAAUACUUUGCUGUUUUGACGUUACCGACAGAAUAAGCACCGGCUAACUCUGUGCCAGCAGCCGCGGUAAUACAGAGGGUGCAAGCGUUAAUCGGAAUUACUGGGCGUAAAGCGCGCGUAGGUGGUUCGUUAAGUUGGAUGUGAAAUCCCCGGGCUCAACCUGGGAACUGCAUUCAAAACUGACGAGCUAGAGUAUGGUAGAGGGUGGUGGAAUUUCCUGUGUAGCGGUGAAAUGCGUAGAUAUAGGAAGGAACACCAGUGGCGAAGGCGACCACCUGGACUGAUACUGACACUGAGGUGCGAAAGCGUGGGGAGCAAACAGGAUUAGAUACCCCGGUAGU